CUACGGGAUGCACCAGUGGGGAAUAUUGGACAAUGGGGGAAACCCUGAUCCAGCAAUGCCGCGUGUGUGAAGAAGGCCUGCGGGUUGUAAAGCACUUUCGGUUGGGAGGACUGCUUCUAGCACUAAUAUUGUUGGAAGUUGACGUUACCUUCAGAAGAAGCACCGGCUAACUCCGUGCCAGCAGCCGCGGUAAUACGGAGGGUGCAAGCAGUUAAUCGGAAGUACUGGGCGUAAAGCGCGCGUAGGCGGCUAGAUCAGUCGGGUGUGAAAGCCCCGGGCUUAACCUGGGAACUGCAUCCGAUACUGUCUAGCUUGAGUACAGGAGAGGAGAGUGGAAUUCCACAUGUAGCGGUGAAAUGCGUAGAUAUGUGGAGGAACACCAAUGGCGAAGGCAGCUCUCUGGCCUGAUACUGACGCUGAGGUGCGAAAGCGUGGGGAGCAAACAGGAUUAGAUACCCCGGUAGUC
RNAcentral lists this ribosomal RNA (466 nucleotides) under uncultured bacterium. RNAcentral's name for it is "partial 16S ribosomal RNA". It matches the Rfam family "Bacterial small subunit ribosomal RNA", at positions 339 to 795 of the family's 1533-position model. The record is from RNAcentral.